This 1488-nucleotide ribosomal RNA is filed under the name metagenome. RNAcentral describes it as "bacterial LSU rRNA". It matches the Rfam family "Bacterial large subunit ribosomal RNA", at positions 1448 to 2925 of the family's 2925-position model. The record is from RNAcentral.
UUGACGACAAAGUCGCGCGCUGGUGCGGGGUAGGGUAGGUCGAGCGCGCCGAUUGGACAUGGCGCGUCUAAGCCCGCAGUGCGGGUCCCUUCGGGGGCCGCGUGCGAGGGGUGGGAAACUCUGGGGUUACGGCCCCUGGGGAUUCGAUUGAUCCUGGCCUCCGAGAAAAGCCAGGGCGCGGAAGCUGCGAGCGACCGUACCGCAAACCGACACGGGUGGCCGGGUGCGAGAGCACCAAGGUGGACGGGUGAGUCCUCGUUAAGGAACUAGGCAAGUUGACCCCGUAACUUCGGGAGAAGGGGUACCGCGGUAGCGUGAAGCCACUCGCUGGCGGAGCGUGAGGCGGGCGCAGAGAACAGGCCCAUGCGACUGUUUACCAAGAACACAGCUCCCUGCAAACGCGAAAGCGGACGUAUAGGGGGUGACGCCUGCCCGAUGCCGGAAGGUCAAGGGGAGGGGUGAUGAGCCCAGAACCGAAGCCCCGGUCAAUGGCGGCCGUAACUAUAACGGUCCUAAGGUAGCGAAAUUCCUUGUCGGGUAAGUUCCGACCCGCACGAAUGGCGUAACGACAUGGGCGCUGUCUCAACGAGGGGCCCGGCGAAAUUGAACUGGCCGUGAAGAUGCGGCCUACCCGCGACAGGACAAAAAGACCCCGUGGAGCUUUACUGUAGCCUGACGUUGGGUCGGGGCUCGGGAUGUGUAGGAUAGGUGGGAGGCUGGGAUGUGCGGACUCUGGUCUGCACGGAGCCGACGGUGAAAUACCACCCUUCCCGGGUCUUGAGUCUAACCGUGUGCCGUUAUCCGGCAUCGGAACAGCGUCUGGUGGGCAGUUUGACUGGGGCGGUCGCCUCCCAAAAGGUAACGGAGGCGCCCAAAGGUUCCCUCAGGCUGGAUGGAAAUCAGCCUUCGAGUGCAUAGGCAUAAGGGAGCUUGACUGCGAGGCCGACACGCCGAGCAGGGACGAAAGUCGGGCUAAGUGAUCCUCUGGCGCUGCGUGGAAGGGCCAGGGCUUAACGGAUAAAAGCUACCCCGGGGAUAACAGGCUGAUCUUGCCCGAGAGUCCACAUCGACGGCAAGGUUUGGCACCUCGAUGUCGGCUCGUCGCAUCCUGGGGCCGGAGCAGGUCCCAAGGGUUGGGCUGUUCGCCCAUUAAAGCGGUACGCGAGCUGGGUUCAGAACGUCGUGAGACAGUUCGGUCUCUAUCCGUCGUGGGCGCAGGGAUCUUGACAGGAGCCGUCCCUAGUACGAGAGGACCGGGACGGACGGACCUCCGGUGUACCAGUUGUCCCGCCAGGGGCACUGCUGGGUAGCCGACGUCCGGCAGGGAUAACCGCUGAAAGCAUCUAAGCGGGAAGCUCGCCUGAAGAUGAGGGUCCCCACCAGGUCAACUGGGUAAGGCCCCAGCUAGACUAGCUGGUUGAUAGGCGGCGUGUGUACGCCCCGUGAGGGGUUCAGCUAAGCCGUACUAAUGGCCGAGGGCUCAUCGUC